Lepisosteus oculatus (spotted gar) is the source of this 4366-nucleotide long non-coding RNA. RefSeq lists it as uncharacterized. The record is from RefSeq and is a predicted model, not a curated record. Lineage: Eukaryota; Metazoa; Chordata; Actinopteri; Semionotiformes; Lepisosteidae.
UUACAGUGACCAAUCGGAGUUCUGGCAGAAACUUUGUAAACAACGGAGUUGCACGCUGUCUUUUAACAGCUAAAACAAAGCGAAUAGAGUAUCACAGGGAUCGUCCGGAAGUCGAAGGAGCGUUAAGAUUUACUUGACACACAGCAACAUGUGAUUAGAGAUUGUGAGACCUGAAGAUCUUACUAGAAGGAUGACAACUGCAAGCGACAUUAGACAGCACUCCCAGUGCAUACAGGCUGAAGUCUUGGAAGAUUGUGCAUAAGUUGAGGAAACAUGAUAGAUAUUUGCAGUAACUGAGUAUAUCAGAAGAGGGCUGUGACGGAGGAUGGAUAGAACAUCUUCUGUUACAGGAUGAUAAAGGAUGAUUUUGUGUUGGCUUAUGGAGAAAAUGCAAAACUGGAGCUCCACUUCAGCUGUGCCCUGGCAGAUUCUAUCAAUGGAACAAGUAUGAUUGGAUUCCAUGCUGAGAAGUAAAAGGAGCAACACCAUGUUUCAGCACUGUACCCAACCCACGACCUGCAGCUCCACAAGUCUUAGAAAACUCCUGGAUGAAAAGAGGUGUUUAACAUUUAGGAAAGGUGUUAAAUUGGUCAAAUUAAGGUAACCAUUAGCUGAUUUUGGUCAACGGGGAGAAGUGCCGACACUCAGCACUGCGGCCCUCCAGGACUGGAGUAAACUCUUCUUUGUGGCUGACUGAUCCUUCCUCUUCCUGGUGACAGCGGAGAAAUUCUCAUCAGCUAUAGGAUUCCCAAUUCAUCCUUCACAGAAGUACAGGAGCCUCCUGGAUGACAGCUAUUGACACUCCACUACACAGCACAGCACGUUGGGAGAUGAGAAAUUACUUCACAUUGUUAAACGGCCAGAGAUUUGAAUGUCAGCUCGUCAUGUCGGACACAGGACAGUUCAGGUCUGCAAAGGAUGUGCAGUGAAGACGGGCUUAUUUUUCCCAAAAAGUCUUGGAAGGUAAAAGUGAAAAGUAUGGUAAAAGAAACAUUUGAAGAGAGAACAAAACCCUGUUUCACCGGUUGAAGAGUGGCUGCUUCAAGACCAAUACAGGUUGUCUGUGCUUCUUCUUUAAACCCAACUCAUCGUGGCAUCGGCAUCAGGAAAUCUCUUCUUUGCUUUCUGGGGAUGGCUUUUGGCGGCAGACUUCUAUCCCACAUUGCAAAUACCUUGGGACUCUGUUGUGUCGGAGAGGAGGCUCCCGCCACGCUGAAGACAUUACGCACAGACAUCCCACAAUCCCGUGAAGCUCCAGAGAUGUUUCUGCUUUCCUGGGAGACACGCUCCCACAUCUUUUGCAUGGAUCCGAUUGAUUCCAUCGGAUACUGAGGGACCAUGGACCGUACAUUCAGGAGCUCUGGGAAGGAUGGAAUUUUCAAUCCUGAUAUAGAGGUUUUUUUUUUUGUCUAGAAACUAAUGGAAUGAGGCAGAAGUUACUUUUAAGCCCAACUGGGCAUAGCGCUCCUGCUUUGUCAUCUCAUCAACCAUUUUUUUUUAUUCACAAAUCAACAACCGAGGCAAAUGGAGUUUACAGUGACAAGACUGGGGAUGUGUGAUGAAGGACUGCAACAGUGAUGGGAUUCUUCUUCAGUUCCCCAAACAUUUUAGACAAACUAAGAGUUAAGGUUAAGCUCAGAUAGUCACUCAACACACACAGGUAAGAAUUCCAGAAUGUCUUAAGGCUGUUAAUUGCACAUCAAAAUAACCAUUUCAAUUGCGCUUGUUAGUCUGCUAUUUGCUGUUUUCAAAUUAGAUGUGAAUAAAGUUUUAAGUGAUUCUUUAAACAAAAUGCAGAAAUGAAAAACACAUAUGUUGUGUAUCCCGAUGGUGACACAACAGUUGUUCUGUGAUUUCUCUAAGACUAUUUGUUUGGUCUUGCAUAACUUUCUGAAAAGGCUGUUUUAUUUGUCAAGAGCGCUUUGAGGUGUUACUGACAAUGAAAAGGAAGCACGUGAAAUAAAAAUAGAUUAGCUGUUGCUCAUUUUGCUGGGGCACUUCUGCACAUAUUUGGAGAAUAGUCCGCAUUUUUAAAUCCCACUCUGUGAAUGAGGAUUUGAUGUGAAUACACGCAUGUGACUACAAGCAAGAUGAGGUGCUUAUAACAGACCUAACUGACUUCAGCACAAAGGGGAAUGGUUUAGUAGUCACAGGAUAUGAUGAAGACCAGAACGAGAAAGGUUACCAAAACUUUAAAGAGCCAUGAUGCAUCUCAGAGUUCAGUCGGGGAACCUAUUUCCCUGUAAUAGUAAACACAUUAACAUUUAUUGUCACAAAUAUUUUCUCACAUCUUUCGACCCAACAGACUAUUAAAGAUACUUGAAAAAAGGCACAAAUGAACAAGUGAAAGCUAUGUUUUGCUCUCAGUACUCCAUUCCUUGAUAUUUUAGUUUCUCUUUUCAUUGUCUUUAUUCUUCCAGUUUUUAAACUGUCGAUUUUUUCCCUUCACUUUAGCUACAGUACGCACUUUUUUGUGAUUUCCUCCUGAAAGCCAGAGAUAAUGUGCCAGUGUUAGAAAUAUAAUGAAAGAUUAAAUAUUUCAAUAAUGAACAGUUACACGAGUUCAGAACAUGUCACAAAACACCUUAUUCCCUUUUGACAUUAGAAGAUUUGGGUUACACUUGCUGUGUUAAAUGCUAACAGGUAUUCAGGUAAAUGCCGUUAAUUUUAACUAAGGAAAUUACAAAAGAGUAGUUUUUGAAUGGAAUUAAAUGUUUAAUUUGUAAGCCAUUAGAGAAAUCAAUCUAUUAACUUUAAUCUGAGCUGUUUUUUGAAUAACUUUGAAGCUGUUUUGUUGCUUGUUAGGUUAGUUUCUUUAACUGCUUUAACACUAUAAACAGUAAAUAAGACUGUUUCUCAAACCUUUUCAAUCUGUUCACCUUAAGUCAUUAAGACAGGAAAUUGAUGGAACCAUAUCUUAAAGUUAUGUGUGCCUUAUUAUUUCUAUUUAAAUAAUUUGGUUUUAUUUGUGUAAUUCCUAUGAAAUUAGUAAAGAUUUGUACUUACUGAUGAUUGUUAUUUUCCUAAAUUAAAAUUCUUUGUUCUUUUACAUUCCUCUAUUUUUUUACAAAGUUCAAUGUAAUGUAAUAAAACAGGAUAAUUGAAUUGUGUAAUAAUAGUCACGUUUGGCUUGAACGCAAACAAGUCCUAUAUGUUUUAUGCAUAUGUUAUUCACCUGGAAAAAACAAAACUCUUGAAAUGUGUGGAUUGCAAUUAAAUCAAAAGAACAAUUUUGUUACUUUAAAUACGAAUUACAUGUGUCAAAAAAUUGUUAGGAAUUCCUUAUGAAAUCCUCAGACCACAAUCGUAUCCUUGGGGAUACAUUGUAGAUGCUGCGAAAGAAAGUUAAGCUAUGUAAUGGGCUUUAAAUAAUGAUUUUCAGGUGGGUUAUAAACAAUGAUUUGCUGUGAUUUACCAUUUUAUUCUCAUCAACCAAUAUAAAAUAGUGAUAAUCCAAGAUUUCUGUAUAGUCCCUUAAAUAUUUUAAUCCAUCUAUGAAUUCAUAAAAGUGUAAAAUGAUACAGUGAUUCAAACUUUCUGAAUUACUGGUUCAGUUUAGGAAUGAUUCAAAUACAAAUUGUAUCAUAAAUCCAAUCUAAAAAAAAAGCUGUACACCAAGGGAUUUUACAGAAAACCAUUAGCUCAUCCAGCACAUAAUACAUUUAUACAGCAGUGAAGUAUUUUAUUUCUGAUUAAAAUGUACUUCCCAAGUCACUUCAAUAAAACUUAUGGAAAGUCUAUUCAUCACAAAAUAUGACUUAAUUCAUUGUUUACAAGGAUAACGAUUUGUUGGUAAAACUAGUGUUUGAAAAUAAAAGUCUAAAUAAAUAUAUUGUAUACAAAAUGGCCUUUUCUAGUUGCUUUAUUUCACUUUGAAUAAAAAAAACUUAAUCUACACAUCUGGUCUACACAUCUGCUGCUCUGUCUUUACUGCUGUCAUACUUACAUAACAUUUGAAUGCUCAGUUUCACUUUGAAAUUAAGGACAUAGAUGUGGAUGUUUUCAGUAACACAGCAUAAAACCCACACAGACUGCAGCUGUUUGCCUAUACGUUUAGAAAAUGUGUGUCUGAAUAUAUGUUUUUAGAUUAAACAGAAAUGUAUUGAGAAAAAAACAUAACCAGACUGUGUUAUUAAAAUUGAUAUUAUGUGUAUUCAGGUUUUGUAAGGAAUAUUGUGUCCUUUCUGGACACUGUUUUUCUGUUGUAAAGUAACAGUCGUUCUGUUCAUUAAAUAAGAACUGAAUAUUGUGAGUUGUAUGAAUAUAAGUCAGAUAUCAAUGUUUUGCAAUACUUGCAUUUAAGCAUGGAAUAUGUAUGAAUUGUUACAUGAAUAAUGGCUAAAGAAUAAACGUAAUAUUUAGUGUU